GUCUCUUUGGGACAUCUGAUAAAAUUGAGACGUUACAUAAAAGAUUAGCAUAACUCCUGUGUAAAGAUGAAAUAUAAUGCACAAGUCCAGCAAUAAAGUAUA
Prosopis cineraria is the source of this 102-nucleotide small nuclear RNA. The record is from RefSeq and is a predicted model, not a curated record. NCBI's taxonomy places the organism in Eukaryota, Viridiplantae, Streptophyta, Magnoliopsida, Fabales, Fabaceae.